Molecule: ribosomal RNA, 198 nt
Filed under: uncultured bacterium
Lineage: Bacteria
Description: partial 16S ribosomal RNA
Rfam family: Bacterial small subunit ribosomal RNA
Source: RNAcentral
ACGCUCGACACCUACGGGAGGUAGCAGUGAGGGAUAUUGGUCAAUGGGGGAAACCCUGAACCAGCAACGCCGCGUGAGGGAUGACGGUCUUCGGAUUGUAAACCUCUGUCCUCUGUGAAGAUAAUGACGGUAGCAGAGGAGGAAGCUCCGGCUAACUACGUGCCGGCAGCCGCGGUAAUCUGAGCGGGCUGGCAAGGC